GAUGAACGCUGGCGGCGUGCUUAACACAUGCAAGUCGAACGGUGAAGCAGAGCUUGCUCUGUGGAUCAGUGGCGAACGGGUGAGUAAUACGUGAGCAAUCUGCCCCUGACUCUGGGAUAAGCGCUGGAAACGGUGUCUAAUACUGGAUAAGAGCCAUGGCCGCAUGGUCUGUGGUUGGAAAGAUUUUUCGGUUGGGGAUGAGCUCACGGCCUAUCAGCUUGUUGGUGAGGUAAUGGCUCACCAAGGCGUCGACGGGUAGCCGGCCUGAGAGGGUGACCGGCCACACUGGGACUGAGACACGGCCCAGACUCCUACGGGAGGCAGCAGUGGGGAAUAUUGCACAAUGGGCGGAAGCCUGAUGCAGCAACGCCGCGUGAGGGAUGACGGCCUUCGGGUUGUAAACCUCUUUUAGCAGGGAAGAAGCUUUUGUGACGGUACCUGCAGAAAAAGCGCCGGCUAACUACGUGCCAGCAGCCGCGGUAAUACGUAGGGCGCAAGCGUUAUCCGGAAUUAUUGGGCGUAAAGAGCUCGUAGGCGGUUUGUCGCGUCUGCUGUGAAAUCCCGAGGCUCAACCUCGGGCCUGCAGUGGGUACGGGCAGACUAGAGUGCGGUAGGGGAGAUUGGAAUUCCUGGUGUAGCGGUGGAAUGCGCAGAUAUCAGGAGGAACACCGAUGGCGAAGGCAGAUCUCUGGGCCGUAACUGACGCUGAGGAGCGAAAGGGUGGGGAGCAAACAGGCUUAGAUACCCUGGUAGUCCACCCCGUAAACGUUGGGAACUAGUUGUGGGGUCCAUUCCACGGAUUCCGUGACGCAGCUAACGCAUUAAGUUCCCCGCCUGGGGAGUACGGCCGCAAGGCUAAAACUCAAAGGAAUUGACGGGGACCCGCACAAGCGGCGGAGCAUGCGGAUUAAUUCGAUGCAACGCGAAGAACCUUACCAAGGCUUGACAUACACCAGAACACCCUGGAAACAGGGGACUCUUUGGACACUGGUGAACAGGUGGUGCAUGGUUGUCGUCAGCUCGUGUCGUGAGAUGUUGGGUUAAGUCCCGCAACGAGCGCAACCCUCGUUCUAUGUUGCCAGCACGUAAUGGUGGGAACUCAUGGGAUACUGCCGGGGUCAACUCGGAGGAAGGUGGGGAUGACGUCAAAUCAUCAUGCCCCUUAUGUCUUGGGCUUCACGCAUGCUACAAUGGCCGGUACAAAGGGCUGCGAUACCGUAAGGUGGAGCGAAUCCCAAAAAGCCGGUCCCAGUUCGGAUUGAGGUCUGCAACUCGACCUCAUGAAGUCGGAGUCGCUAGUAAUCGCAGAUCAGCAACGCUGCGGUGAAUACGUUCCCGGGUCUUGUACACAC
This 1352-nucleotide ribosomal RNA is filed under the name uncultured bacterium. RNAcentral's name for it is "bacterial SSU rRNA". It matches the Rfam family "Bacterial small subunit ribosomal RNA", at positions 28 to 1390 of the family's 1533-position model. The record is from RNAcentral.